This is a small RNA of 124 nucleotides. It matches the Rfam family "DUF3800-I RNA". From Rfam's summary of the family: Actinobacteria, Firmicutes, Fusobacteria, Proteobacteria (1 example), Tenericutes (2 examples). Terminator (Clostridia) The record is from Rfam.
UAGAAGUGAAGAUGGAUUUAUCCAUACUGGUAAUUUCUAUGAAUACUGAAUGAGAGUUUAAGCGUAAUGAUAAGUACGUCAGACAUAGAGCCACUCAAUUUAAAAAUGAGUGGUAUUUUUUUAA